Molecule: small nuclear RNA, 140 nt
Organism: Schistocerca piceifrons (Central American locust)
Lineage: Eukaryota; Metazoa; Arthropoda; Insecta; Orthoptera; Acrididae
Product: U4 spliceosomal RNA
Exons: 1
Source: RefSeq, a predicted model, not a curated record
ACCUCUGCACAGUGGCAAUAUCGUAACCAGUGAGGUAUAACUGAGGUGCGAUUAUUGAUAGUUGAAAACGUUUAGCAAUACUCCGGCAGAGAGAUGGGAAACACAAUCCCCGUGGCAAUUCUUGUUAGCUGCUAUGGGAC